GGGCACAUAGCUCAAUGGUAGAGCAGUAGCCUCUUAAGCUAUUGGUUGAAGGUUCGAGUCCUUCUGUGCCCACCA
This 75-nucleotide transfer RNA is filed under the name Candidatus Falkowiibacteriota bacterium. RNAcentral's name for it is "tRNA-Lys". It matches the Rfam family "tRNA". Rfam says of the family: Transfer RNA (tRNA) molecules are approximately 80 nucleotides in length. Their secondary structure includes four short double-helical elements and three loops (D, anti-codon, and T loops). Lineage: Bacteria; Candidatus Falkowiibacteriota. The record is from RNAcentral.